GAUGAACGCUGGCGGCGUGCCUAAUACAUGCAAGUCGAGCGAAUGGAUUAAGAGCUUGCUCUUAUGAAGUUAGCGGCGGACGGGUGAGUAACACGUGGGUAACCUGCCCAUAAGACUGGGAUAACUCCGGGAAACCGGGGCUAAUACCGGAUAACAUUUUGAACCGCAUGGUUCGAAAUUGAAAGGCGGCUUCGGCUGUCACUUAUGGAUGGACCCGCGUCGCAUUAGCUAGUUGGUGAGGUAACGGCUCACCAAGGCAACGAUGCGUAGCCGACCGGGGAGGGUGAUCGGCCACACUGGGACUGAGACACGGCCCAGACUCCGACGGGAGGCAGCAGUAGGGAAUCUUCCGCAAGGGACGAAAGUCGGACGGAGCAACGCCGCGUGAGUGAGGAAGGCUUUCGGGUCGUAAAACUCUGUUGUUAGGGAAGAACAAGUGCUAGUUGAAUAAGCUGGCACCUUGACGGUACCUAACCAGAAAGCCACGGCUAACUACGUGCCAGCCGCCGCGGUAA
Molecule: ribosomal RNA, 515 nt
Filed under: uncultured bacterium
Lineage: Bacteria
Description: partial 16S ribosomal RNA
Rfam family: Bacterial small subunit ribosomal RNA
Source: RNAcentral